GACGAACGCUGGCGGCGUGCUUAACACAUGCAAGUCGAACGGAAAGGCCCUGCUUUUGUGGGGUGCUCGAGUGGCGAACGGGUGAGUAACACGUGAGUAACCUGCCCUUGACUUUGGGAUAACUUCAGGAAACUGGGGCUAAUACCGGAUAGGAGCUCCUGCUGCAUGGUGGGGGUUGGAAAGUUUCGGCGGUUGGGGAUGGACUCGCGGUUUAUCAGCUUGUUGGUGGGGUAGUGGCUUACCAAGGCUUUGACGGGUAGCCGGCCUGAGAGGGUGACCGGCCACAUUGGGACUGAGAUACGGCCCAGACUCCUACGGGAGGCAGCAGUGGGGUAUAUUGCACAAUGGGCUGAAGCCUGAUGCAGCAACGCCGCGUGCGGGAUGACGGCCUUCGGGUUGUAAACCGCUUUCGCCUGUGACGAAGCGUGAGUGACGGUAAUGGGUAAAGAAGCACCGGCUAACUACGUG
This 468-nucleotide ribosomal RNA is filed under the name uncultured bacterium. RNAcentral's name for it is "partial 16S ribosomal RNA". It matches the Rfam family "Bacterial small subunit ribosomal RNA", at positions 28 to 507 of the family's 1533-position model. The record is from RNAcentral.